Molecule: long non-coding RNA, 718 nt
Filed under: Brachypodium distachyon (stiff brome)
Lineage: Eukaryota; Viridiplantae; Streptophyta; Magnoliopsida; Poales; Poaceae
Description: long non-coding RNA (BDIS_LNC005881)
Source: RNAcentral
GUGAUUGUGGUUGGUUGCAUCUUCAACUUGGCAAUAAAUUGGCACGACGUUUCAGUCUGCCAUGGUGAUUGCGUCAUGUUUCGGAUCCUCUCAAUUAUCUUCUUUUUUGUAGGGGGAAUCUUCUAAUUUACUCGUUUCGAUCCGCAUCCUCGAGUUUCAUUUCAGGGUUUCCUGGAGUUGGGCUGUGGAUUCUUGCUCCUACUGUGCCAGGGGAGACGUCGGUCGGGCCGGAUUUCGCAUGAUGGGCUGGGCGCUGCAUCCACCUGGCCUACAACGAAAGGAUCAGCGGAUCACCUUCUACAAAGAAAAAAAAACAGCAGGCAGGCAUCGCCGCUCCAAUAAUGUAACCACCUUUUCUCAAAAGGAAAAAAAAAACAUCUGCCAGGUUCCUUGCUACGUCUGGACUGGAUUGAUUGGUUCGUAGUCGUACCAUCAUGGCACCAUGUGCCGUACUGCCAUACAUACAAGUGAUGGACUGUUCGUGGAACCUCAAUGCUCUGUGUAUGAUCUCCAUCUCAUUUCCGCAUGUUACAUGGCUGUAUGAUUGCUUCUACUGGCUGAAGGAAUCUUGCAGAUCGAAAAUUUGGUACUACUGCUAGAUCCUCGUAGCUUAAACUUUUCCCGGUCUCCGAGACACUUGUGAUGCUCAAUGCGGGCUUCUUUGCCAGACAAACCACAGGGGAACCUGCAGCCCCGCUGACUACUAGCUCCAUCCAAC